AAGCUGCGGGAGCUGCAGGACCCCUCCGAGGACGAGCCCAACAUCCGCGUCAUCCUGGAGCACCGCUUCUACAAGGAGAAGAGCAAGAGCGUGAAGCAGACGUGCGACAAGUGCAGCACCAUCAUCUGGGGCCUCAUCCAGACCUGGUACACCUGCACAGGGUGCUACUACCGGUGCCACAGCAAGUGCCUGCCGCUGGUCACCAAGGCGUGCGUGAGGUCCAAGGUGAGCCACCAAGCCGAGUACGAGCUCAACAUCUGCCCCGAGAGCGGGCUCGACAGCCAGGACUACCGCUGCGCCGAGUGCCGGGCCCCCAU
Non-coding RNA from Tinamus guttatus (white-throated tinamou), 317 nucleotides. The record is from RefSeq and is a predicted model, not a curated record. Lineage: Eukaryota; Metazoa; Chordata; Aves; Tinamiformes; Tinamidae.